GACGAACGCUGGCGGCGUGCCUAAUACAUGCAAGUCGAGCGAGCGGAACUAACAGAUUUACUUCGGUAAUGACGUUAGGAAAGCGAGCGGCGGAUGGGUGAGUAACACGUGGGGAACCUGCCCCAUAGUCUGGGAUACCACUUGGAAACAGGUGCUAAUACCGGAUAAGAAAGCAGAUCGCAUGAUCAGCUUUUAAAAGGCGGCGUAAGCUGUCGCUAUGGGAUGGCCCCGCGGUGCAUUAGCUAGUUGGUAAGGUAAAGGCUUACCAAGGCGAUGAUGCAUAGCCGAGUCGAGAGACUGAUCGGCCACAUUGGGACUGAGACACGGCCCAAACUCCUACGGGAGGCAGCAGUAGGGAAUCUUCCACAAUGGACGCAAGUCUGAUGGAGCAACGCCGCGUGAGUGAAGAAGGUUUUCGGAUCGUAAAGCUCUGUUGUUGGUGAAGAAGGAUAGAGGUAGUAACUGGCCUUUAUUUGACGGUAAUCAACCAGAAAGUCACGGCUAACUACGUGCCAGCAGCCGCGGUAAUACGUAGGUGGCAAGCGUUGUCCGGAUUUAUUGGGCGUAAAGCGAGCGCAGGCGGAAGAAUAAGUCUGAUGUGAAAGCCCUCGGCUUAACCGAGGAACUGCAUCGGAAACUGUUUUUCUUGAGUGCAGAAGAGGAGAGUGGAACUCCAUGUGUAGCGGUGGAAUGCGUAGAUAUAUGGAAGAACACCAGUGGCGAAGGCGGCUCUCUGGUCUGCAACUGACGCUGAGGCUCGAAAGCAUGGGUAGCGAACAGGAUUAGAUACCCUGGUAGUCCAUGCCGUAAACGAUGAGUGCUAAGUGUUGGGAGGUUUCCGCCUCUCAGUGCUGCAGCUAACGCAUUAAGCACUCCGCCUGGGGAGUACGACCGCAAGGUUGAAACUCAAAGGAAUUGACGGGGGCCCGCACAAGCGGUGGAGCAUGUGGUUUAAUUCGAAGCAACGCGAAGAACCUUACCAGGUCUUGACAUCUAGUGCCAUUUGUAGAGAUACAAAGUUCCCUUCGGGGACGCUAAGACAGGUGGUGCAUGGCUGUCGUCAGCUCGUGUCGUGAGAUGUUGGGUUAAGUCCCGCAACGAGCGCAACCCUUGUUAUUAGUUGCCAGCAUUAAGUUGGGCACUCUAAUGAGACUGCCGGUGACAAACCGGAGGAAGGUGGGGAUGACGUCAAGUCAUCAUGCCCCUUAUGACCUGGGCUACACACGUGCUACAAUGGGCAGUACAACGAGAAGCGAGCCUGCGAAGGCAAGCGAAUCUCUGAAAGCUGUUCUCAGUUCGGAUUGCAGUCUGCAACUCGACUGCACGAAGCUGGAAUCGCUAGUAAUCGCGGAUCAGCACGCCGCGGUGAAUACGUUCCCGGGCCU
Molecule: ribosomal RNA, 1385 nt
Filed under: uncultured bacterium
Lineage: Bacteria
Description: bacterial SSU rRNA
Rfam family: Bacterial small subunit ribosomal RNA
Source: RNAcentral